Molecule: unclassified non-coding RNA, 162 nt
Organism: Chelonoidis abingdonii (Abingdon island giant tortoise)
Lineage: Eukaryota; Metazoa; Chordata; Testudines; Testudinidae
Source: Ensembl
CUGUCAGCCAUGGAGGCUGAAGACCUGUUUAUCCACAGAAAAAUUACAGCAUGGGCAGUGACAGGACAUGAUUCCUCCCACAAGUCUCCCAGUGUGCCUCAGUCUUGAACUGCAGGGAUGAGAGGGGAGAUGAGACUCCAUAGCCACUCUGCUGAAACUGCU